ACGAACGCUGGCGGCGUGCUUAACACAUGCAGGUCGAACGGAAAGGCCCUGCUUUUGUGGGGUGCUCGAGUGGCGAACGGGUGAGUAACACGUGAGUAACCUGCCCUUGACUUUGGGAUAACUUCAGGAAACUGGGGCUAAUACCGGAUAGGGGCUCCUGCUGCAUGGUGGGGGUUGGAAAGUUUCGGCGGUUGGGGAUGGACUCGCGGCUUAUCAGCUUGUUGGUGGGGUAGUGGCUUACCAAGGCUUUGACGGGUAGCCGGCCUGAGAGGGUGACCGGCCACAUUGGGACUGAGAUACGGCCCAGACUCCUACGGGAGGCAGCAGUGGGGAAUAUUGCACAAUGGGCGGAAGCCUGAUGCAGCAACGCCGCGUGCGGGAUGACGGCCUUCGGGUUGUAAACCGCUUUCGCCUGUGACGAAGCGUGAGUGACGGUAAUGGGUAAAGAAGCACCGGCUAACUACGUG
This 467-nucleotide ribosomal RNA is filed under the name uncultured bacterium. RNAcentral's name for it is "partial 16S ribosomal RNA". It matches the Rfam family "Bacterial small subunit ribosomal RNA", at positions 29 to 507 of the family's 1533-position model. The record is from RNAcentral.